AUAUAUAUAUAUAUAUAUAUACGUAUGUGUGUGUGUAUGUAGUGUAAUAUCAAAAAAACAUUAAAAAGAUAAAACAAUAAAACGCCGAAAGGACAAAGUUUGAUGAAUACGUUAUUAGUUUAACACUUGAGAAGCUGGAAUGAAAGCAUCUUAACGUUUCGGAUAUUUGUCCUUCUACUGAGAGGUAAAAAUAGGCAGAGAGAAACACAACGGGAUAAAUAGUGGAUGUGCAGAGAGAGAGAGAGAGAACUAGUGAAUGUAUAAAAAGAAACAGUACACUACCAUAUACAUUUAUACAUACAUGCAUACAUAUACGUAUAUAUAUGUAUAGAGAGAAAGACUAAGAGAGAAAGAGAGAGAGUUGUGCUUCUCUUCUCUGCAUAUUCUGUGUUUAUUUUGCCCUUUAUCCUUUCGGGGUCGAUUAAAUAAAGUACUCGGACUGAUGAUAUCGAUUAAAUUC
Molecule: long non-coding RNA, 460 nt
Organism: Octopus sinensis (East Asian common octopus)
Lineage: Eukaryota; Metazoa; Mollusca; Cephalopoda; Octopoda; Octopodidae
Exons: 2
Source: RefSeq, a predicted model, not a curated record